RNAcentral lists this ribosomal RNA (465 nucleotides) under uncultured bacterium. RNAcentral describes it as "partial 16S ribosomal RNA". It matches the Rfam family "Bacterial small subunit ribosomal RNA", at positions 28 to 507 of the family's 1533-position model. The record is from RNAcentral.
GAUGAACGCUGGCGGCGUGCUUAACACAUGCAAGUCGAACGAUGAAGCCCAGCUUGCUGGGUGGAUUAGUGGCGAACGGGUGAGUACACGUGAGUAACCUGCCCUUAACUCUGGGAUAAGCCUGGGAAACUGGGUCUAAUACCGGAUAGGAGCGUCCACCGCAUGGGGGGUGUUGGAAAGAUUUAUCGGUUUUGGAUGGACUCGCGGCCUAUCAGCUUGUUGGGGAGGUAAUGGCUCACCAAGGCGACGCCGGGUAGCCGGCCUGAGAGGGUGACCGGCCCCACUGGGACUGAGACACGGCCCAGACUCCUACGGGAGGCAGCAGUGGGGAAUAUUGCACAAUGGGCGCAAGCCUGAUGCAGCGACGCCGCGUGAGGGAUGACGGCCUUCGGGUUGUAAACCUCUUUCAGUAGGGAAGAAGCGAAAGUGACGGUACCUGCAGAAGAAGCACCGGCUAACUACGUG